UACAGCGGGGGCAAGCGUUGUUCGGAAUUACUGGGCGUAAAGGGCGCGUAGGCGGCCCGCUAAGUCGAACGUGAAAUCCCCGAGCUCAACUCGGGAACUGCGUCCGAUACUGGCGGGCUUGAAUCCGGGAGAGGGAUGCGGAAUUCCAGGUGUAGCGGUGAAAUGCGUAGAUAUGACCCGGAACACCUAUUGCGAAGGCAGCAGGCUAAGCGAAGAUUGACGCUGAGGCUCGAAAGCGUGGGGAUCAAACAGG
This 253-nucleotide ribosomal RNA is filed under the name uncultured bacterium. RNAcentral's name for it is "partial 16S ribosomal RNA". It matches the Rfam family "Bacterial small subunit ribosomal RNA", at positions 524 to 776 of the family's 1533-position model. The record is from RNAcentral.